RNAcentral lists this unclassified non-coding RNA (129 nucleotides) under uncultured fungus. Its description in RNAcentral is "sequence contains ITS1". Lineage: Eukaryota; Fungi. The record is from RNAcentral.
ACAAAUCCAAUAAUUGUGGGUUAGAGUUAACUCUGCCUGCAAAUAUUAAACCGCCGGUUUUCUAAAGAGAAUCGGUUGGAUAUAUAUGCGUGUAAUGUUGACAGUGUGUGAGUGACUUUAAUUUAUUGA